RNAcentral lists this long non-coding RNA (758 nucleotides) under Mytilus galloprovincialis (Mediterranean mussel). Lineage: Eukaryota; Metazoa; Mollusca; Bivalvia; Mytilida; Mytilidae. The record is from RNAcentral.
AUCGUCAAUAUCAAAUUUGACCUCCAUUUUGUCAUCCGUAUCAACAUCUUAAAAUUUGAAAAGCUUAGAUUGAAUGGUUCAUGAGUAAAUGCAACAACGUGAAUGGAAACGCCAUUUCACAAUCUUUCAAGAACCAUAACUCCUGAACGGUAAAAGUCAAAAUCAUCAUUAUUGAACUUGACCUCUAAUUUGCCAUCAGUAACAACAUAUAAAAAUUUCAAAAGCUUUGGUUGAAUGAUUCAUGAGAAAAUGCACGGACACGACUGGAAACACCAUUUUUCAAUUUUUCAAGAACAUAACUCCUGAACGGUAAAAGUCAAAAUCGUCAUUAUUGAACUUGACCUCUAUUUUGUCAUCAGUAACAACAUAUUAAAAUUUGGGAAGCUUUGGUAAAACAGUUCAUGUGUAAAUGCAUGGACACGACUGGAAACACCAUUUUUCAAUCUUUCAAGAACCUUAACUCCUGAACGGUAAAAGUCAAAAUCGUCAUUAUUGAACUUGACCUCCAUUUUGUCAUCAGUAACAACAUAUUAAAAUUUGGGAAGCUUAGGUAGAACAGUUCAUGCGUAAAUGCACAGACACGACUGGAAACUCCAUUUUUCAAUCUUUCAAGAACCAUAACUCCUGAACGGUAAAAGUCAAAAUCGCCAUUAUUGAACUUGACCUUCAUUUAGUUGUCAGUAACAACAUAUUAAAAUGUUAAAAGCUUUGGUUGAACGGUUCAUGAGUUAAUGCACGGACAACAUUUGAGUGACGCC